AGUGAACGCUGGCGGUAGGCCUAACACAUGCAAGUCGAACGGCAGCACAGUAAGAGCUUGCUCUUACGGGUGGCGAGUGGCGGACGGGUGAGGAAUACAUCGGAAUCUACUUUUUCGUGGGGGAUAACGUAGGGAAACUUACGCUAAUACCGCAUACGACCUACGGGUGAAAGCAGGGGAUCUUCGGACCUUGCGCGAUUGAAUGAGCCGAUGUCGGAUUAGCUAGUUGGCGGGGUAAAGGCCCACCAAGGCGACGAUCAGUAGCUGGUCUGAGAGGAUGAUCAGCCACACUGGAACUGAGACACGGUCCAGACUCCUACGGGAGGCAGCAGUGGGGAAUAUUGGACAAUGGGCGCAAGCCUGAUCCAGCCAUAACGCGUGGGUGAAGAAGGCCUUCGGGUUGUAAAGCCCUUUUGUUGGGAAAGAAAAGCAGCAGGUUAAUACCCCGCUGUUCUGACGGUACCCAAAGAAUAAGCACCGGCUAACUUCGUG
This 492-nucleotide ribosomal RNA is filed under the name uncultured bacterium. RNAcentral's name for it is "partial 16S ribosomal RNA". It matches the Rfam family "Bacterial small subunit ribosomal RNA", at positions 29 to 507 of the family's 1533-position model. The record is from RNAcentral.